AUGCUUAGGGCUCUUUUGAAGAAGAACUUAAAAAUGUGGGAAGAAUGUCUGCCACAUGUAGAGUUUGCUUAUAAUCGUUCCGUUCAUUCCACCACAAAAUUAUGCCCUUUUGAGAUUGUUUAUGGAUUUAUACCUCGUGCACCAAUUGAUUUAUUACCUAUUCCAUCUUCGGAGAAGGUAAACCUUGAUGCUAAAGAACGUGCUGAAUUAGUAUUAAAAAUGCAUGAGAUGACUAAGAAAAAUAUUGAACGCAUGAAUGCCAAAUAUAAACUUGCUGGUAGUCAGGGAAGGAAAAGUGUUGUUUUUGAACCAGGUGAUUUAGUAUAG
This 327-nucleotide ribosomal RNA is filed under the name Triticum aestivum (bread wheat). RNAcentral's name for it is "partial small subunit ribosomal RNA". Lineage: Eukaryota; Viridiplantae; Streptophyta; Magnoliopsida; Poales; Poaceae. The record is from RNAcentral.